Molecule: ribosomal RNA, 1512 nt
Filed under: Limosilactobacillus fermentum
Lineage: Bacteria; Bacillati; Bacillota; Bacilli; Lactobacillales; Lactobacillaceae
Description: bacterial SSU rRNA
Rfam family: Bacterial small subunit ribosomal RNA
Source: RNAcentral
CAUGGCUCGGAUGAACGCCGGCGGUGUGCCUAAUACAUGCAAGUCGAACGCGUUGGCCCAAUUGAUUGAUGGUGCUUGCACCUGAUUGAUUUUGGUCGCCAACGAGUGGCGGACGGGUGAGUAACACGUAGGUAACCUGCCCAGAAGCGGGGGACAACAUUUGGAAACAGAUGCUAAUACCGCAUAACAGCGUUGUUCGCAUGAACAACGCUUAAAAGAUGGCUUCUCGCUAUCACUUCUGGAUGGACCUGCGGUGCAUUAGCUUGUUGGUGGGGUAACGGCCUACCAAGGCGAUGAUGCAUAGCCGAGUUGAGAGACUGAUCGGCCACAAUGGGACUGAGACACGGCCCAUACUCCUACGGGAGGCAGCAGUAGGGAAUCUUCCACAAUGGGCGCAAGCCUGAUGGAGCAACACCGCGUGAGUGAAGAAGGGUUUCGGCUCGUAAAGCUCUGUUGUUAAAGAAGAACACGUAUGAGAGUAACUGUUCAUACGUUGACGGUAUUUAACCAGAAAGUCACGGCUAACUACGUGCCAGCAGCCGCGGUAAUACGUAGGUGGCAAGCGUUAUCCGGAUUUAUUGGGCGUAAAGAGAGUGCAGGCGGUUUUCUAAGUCUGAUGUGAAAGCCUUCGGCUUAACCGGAGAAGUGCAUCGGAAACUGGAUAACUUGAGUGCAGAAGAGGGUAGUGGAACUCCAUGUGUAGCGGUGGAAUGCGUAGAUAUAUGGAAGAACACCAGUGGCGAAGGCGGCUACCUGGUCUGCAACUGACGCUGAGACUCGAAAGCAUGGGUAGCGAACAGGAUUAGAUACCCUGGUAGUCCAUGCCGUAAACGAUGAGUGCUAGGUGUUGGAGGGUUUCCGCCCUUCAGUGCCGGAGCUAACGCAUUAAGCACUCCGCCUGGGGAGUACGACCGCAAGGUUGAAACUCAAAGGAAUUGACGGGGGCCCGCACAAGCGGUGGAGCAUGUGGUUUAAUUCGAAGCUACGCGAAGAACCUUACCAGGUCUUGACAUCUUGCGCCAACCCUAGAGAUAGGGCGUUUCCUUCGGGAACGCAAUGACAGGUGGUGCAUGGUCGUCGUCAGCUCGUGUCGUGAGAUGUUGGGUUAAGUCCCGCAACGAGCGCAACCCUUGUUACUAGUUGCCAGCAUUAAGUUGGGCACUCUAGUGAGACUGCCGGUGACAAACCGGAGGAAGGUGGGGACGACGUCAGAUCAUCAUGCCCCUUAUGACCUGGGCUACACACGUGCUACAAUGGACGGUACAACGAGUCGCGAACUCGCGAGGGCAAGCAAAUCUCUUAAAACCGUUCUCAGUUCGGACUGCAGGCUGCAACUCGCCUGCACGAAGUCGGAAUCGCUAGUAAUCGCGGAUCAGCAUGCCGCGGUGAAUACGUUCCCGGGCCUUGUACACACCGCCCGUCACACCAUGAGAGUUUGUAACACCCAAAGUCGGUGGGGUAACCUUUUAGGAGCCAGCCGCCUAAGGUGGGACAGAUGAUUAGGGUGAAGUC